Molecule: non-coding RNA, 43 nt
Filed under: Schistosoma margrebowiei
Lineage: Eukaryota; Metazoa; Platyhelminthes; Trematoda; Strigeidida; Schistosomatidae
Source: RNAcentral
CUUAUGCUGAGGAGUCCCAUACUAGGACGAAACGGCCGUCCAG